AUUUCUACAGUCUACAUUCAUAUACAUUUUAAAAGAUUCAAUAGACUUGUUUCUGUGUAUGAUGUUACCAUUAUAUAUUUUAUCUCCUGCCAUGAAUAUAUUAGGAAAGUUCCUUAUAUAUCUAUGUCAUACGUAUGUAUGUAGUCUCUAAAAUAUAGCAACACCAUAUGACUUUUCAAAGUGAUAUUUUAAAACUUUGCAUACUGUAACUCCCAAAGGUGUGAAGACAUAAAUCUAAGCAUUAGUCCUAAAUCCAGGUUGCAUUCCUUGGCUUCCCCUUUCUAUCAAUUUAUUCAGCCGAGCACCAGAAACAUCUCAACCAGAAUUGGCUGAGAACAUUUCAGGCUGAUUCAGUUUCUUCAAAACACAUACAGAGCCCCGAACCAUCAGAGAUUUAACGCAGAAACAUUUUCUCUUUACUGUGUGAUGAUUUAAGGGGUGGAGGGUAAUCUCACCUUGUUAUGCAUGCGGUGUUAGCUUAUUUAGUAGAGUCAUUUGAAAUUUUGAUCUCAUUUUUCUCAUCAUUAAAAUACACAAAACUGUGUAUACUGCUUAAGUUUUAGAGUUGGUAUGGGUGUGAAAGAACAUUUUUUAAGUUUUAUUUUGAUGUGGACCAUUUUUAAAGUCUUUAUUGAAUUCUUUACAAUAUUACUUCUGUUUUAAGUUUUGUUUUUUGGCUUUGAGGCAUUUGGGAUCUUAGUUCCCUGACCAGGGAUCUAAGCUGUACCCCCUGCUUGGAAGGCAAGGUCUUAACCACUGGACCACCAGGGAAGUCCCGGAAAGAAUUUGUAAAUUACAGUUUCCAUGUGCUGUAGUCACAUGCCUGGUUGUGUGGUCAUAGCUUCCAGUGGUCAAAGCAAAAGGAAAAUAUCAACAGUUAUAAAAUGUACACAGUAUGGUGGAUAAAGUAAACUCGAAUGUCCGAAGUACAAUCUCCACAAAGGAAUCUCUCCCAUAACAUCUUCAGGAGUCAUUAUGUAACACAAUAGACAACAAUUACAGGAGCAUUUGUUCCUGUCUA
RNAcentral lists this transfer RNA (1021 nucleotides) under Bos indicus x Bos taurus (hybrid cattle). Its description in RNAcentral is "lncRNA (ENSBIXG00005021833.1)". Lineage: Eukaryota; Metazoa; Chordata; Mammalia; Artiodactyla; Bovidae. The record is from RNAcentral.